CUUGAGCACAGGGCUGUACCUGCCUUGUUCAUCUGUUUCUUCAAGGCCCAGCCCACGUUGGACAAGGAGUGCAAUGGAAGAAAUGGGGACAGCAUCGAGCUUCUUCUCCAAUCCUGACCGGAUGAAGGCUGUGCGGGAUCACUGAUGCUUCAGCCGCCUUUCAGAAACAAAGGGCCCCCAGGAGACGGGGCUGGUGUGCCUUUGCGUCGGGCUCGUGGCAGCUUGGAGAGAGCAGUGGCCACACUAAACGCAGGAGAAACCUGGAAGAAGGAAUGAAGAGCCCCAGAGAAACGGGCGCCCUGGAGGGGCUCUGCUACACGCGAGGCCAGAAGCCUGCCAGGCGACCGGGCCCCGUGGGAAGGGCCAGAGGACAGCCACUUGCCAGAAUGUUUUGGAAUGCAGUGACACAGGGGCAUCGGCUUCACUGGAAGCUCAGGGGAGACGGGCAGCAGGGAGGCGAUGGCAUUACAGAAUGGGGU
Molecule: non-coding RNA, 479 nt
Organism: Manis javanica (Malayan pangolin)
Lineage: Eukaryota; Metazoa; Chordata; Mammalia; Pholidota; Manidae
Source: RefSeq, a predicted model, not a curated record